CACAAUUCCGAUGGGAGGAUGGUUCAAUAAUUUCCUUGAGUAUCGCACUGGCUUCACCUUGUGAUCGUUCCAAACAAAACAGGCCGACCACUCUGUGUUCAACGGAUCCAUCUUGGAGGCUGGUUGUGGAGGAGUCACAUGUUGCAAUGUAAGUUUCACACCAAGGAGGGCAGAGAAUAGCUCACCUGUUCAAAUGAGCAGGGUUGUGGACCAUGUAAUUAAAAACAUCAGUGUAGAAUAGCGCCUUUGGACCCAUGGAGUGGCCUCAAGUUCGGCAGGUGUCUUGUCACACAUAACGUUUUCGUUGUGCCUCUGGACUCGUGGAGUGGCAAAAGAUGCUGCCUGACUCCUGAGUUCCUCCAGCAUAUUAUGUGUGUGACUAAAGAAUUAGACAAUAAGACCAUAAGGUUUCGGAGCAGAAUUAGGCCAUUUGACCCAUCAUGGCUGUGGUGAACUACAUAU
Molecule: long non-coding RNA, 462 nt
Organism: Hypanus sabinus (Atlantic stingray)
Lineage: Eukaryota; Metazoa; Chordata; Chondrichthyes; Myliobatiformes; Dasyatidae
Exons: 4
Source: RefSeq, a predicted model, not a curated record